Molecule: long non-coding RNA, 74 nt
Filed under: Felis catus (domestic cat)
Lineage: Eukaryota; Metazoa; Chordata; Mammalia; Carnivora; Felidae
Description: lncRNA (ENSFCAG00000051557.1)
Source: RNAcentral
ACUAGCAUCAUCUCUACAAUGUUUGAGUAAUAUACAAAUAAAGCAAUUGUUCAGCACCAUCCUUUUGUGACUAC